Molecule: long non-coding RNA, 403 nt
Filed under: Rattus norvegicus (Norway rat)
Lineage: Eukaryota; Metazoa; Chordata; Mammalia; Rodentia; Muridae
Description: long non-coding RNA NONRATT012946
Source: RNAcentral
CUACCCUCUACAAGGCCUUGAUGCUUAAGGAAUCAAACAUAAAGCUCCUGGAUGCCAUAAAGAAUAUUGCCAAAAAGGUAAACAACUUGCUGACUUUCUCUGUAUUUCUUAUACAUGAAUAGGCUAACCAUGGGGUCUUAGUUCUAGUUUCAUUGUUGUGACAAGACACCAUGACCAAGGCAACUUUCAUAAAAGAAAAUAUUUAACUUAGGCUGGCUUCCAGUUUCAAAGAUUCAAUCCAGUAUCUUCAUGUUUGGAAGCAUAGCCACAUAAAGACAGAUAUGCCACUGGAGGAGACAAGAAUUCUACAUCUUGAUCUAAUUGCAGUGAGGAAAGAUUGUCCUCUAUAGGCGGUCAGGAGGUCUCAUUCCACAUUGGGCAGUUUCCCAAAGCCCACCCCAUA